UACGGAGGGUGCGAGCGUUAAUCGGAAUUACUGGGCGUAAAGGGUGCGUAGGUGGUUGUAUAAGUUAUCUGUGAAAUCCCUGGGCUUAACCUAGGCAGGUCAGAUAAGACUGUAUGACUCGAGUAUAGGAGAGGGUAGUGGAAUUUCCGGUGUAGCGGUGAAAUGCGUAGAGAUCGGAAGGAACACCAGUGGCGAAGGCGGCUACCUGGCCUAAUACUGACACUGAGGCACGAAAGCGUGGGGAGCAAACAGG
This 253-nucleotide non-coding RNA is filed under the name uncultured bacterium. RNAcentral describes it as "partial 16S ribosomal RNA". It matches the Rfam family "Bacterial small subunit ribosomal RNA", at positions 524 to 776 of the family's 1533-position model. The record is from RNAcentral. RNAcentral also lists the same sequence under 1 other name.